This 468-nucleotide ribosomal RNA is filed under the name uncultured bacterium. RNAcentral's name for it is "partial 16S ribosomal RNA". It matches the Rfam family "Bacterial small subunit ribosomal RNA", at positions 28 to 507 of the family's 1533-position model. The record is from RNAcentral.
GACGAACGCUGGCGGCGUGCUUAACACAUGCAAGUCGAACGGAAAGGCCCUGCUUUUGUGGGGUGCUCGAGUGGCGAACGGGUGAGUAACACGUGAGUAACCUGCCCUUGACUUUGGGAUAACUUCAGGAAACUGGGGCUAAUACCGGAUUGGAGCUCCUGCUGCAUGGUGGGGGUUGGAAAGUUUCGGCGGUUGGGGAUGGACUCGCGGCUUAUCAGCUUGUUGGUGGGGUAGUGGCUUACCAAGGCUUUGACGGGUAGCCGGCCUGAGAGGGGGACCGGCCACAUUGGGACUGAGAUACGGCCCAGACUCCUACGGGAGGCAGCAGUGGGGAAUAUUGCACAAUGGGCGGAAGCCUGAUGCAGCAACGCCGCGUGCGGGAUGACGGCCUUCGGGUUGUAAACCGCUUUCGCCUGUGACGAAGCGUGAGUGACGGUAAUGGGUAAAGAAGCACCGGCUAACUACGUG